CCGGAGGGGAGGGGGCCGUCAAAUCCACGCCACGGCGGAUUCCUCUAAGAGCAAAGGAGCGCCCCUCCGUCGUGAGAAGCCGGGGUCGUGCCUGCCCUUGCUCCUUGGGGCUCAUGGGAAACGUAGUCCGAAGGGCGUGGCGAUGCGCUCGGCGCAGGCGCGGGGCGGGCCUGGGCGGUGUCGUCAGGGCAACGCGCGGGGGAGCUGGCGCAUCCCGCGGAGGCUGGCGGGGCGGCGGCGCGUCACUUCCGGAAGUGGCCUCGCGGCGCCGGGCGACGGCGUAGAGCGCGAGCCUGGCGGGGCGAGCCGCGGCGAGGCCUUUUCCGCCCCUUGGGGCGUGGAGUCGCCUUCCGGAACCCGGCCCGCCCUGUCGUCCUUCUCAGGAGCUCUGGUCCCCCAACCGCCGGGUCUGCACAGGUCCCUCUCGGCGGCUCCAAGAAGACACCCUGCGACAAGAUGCCAUCCCCACUGGGUGCCCCGCCCCUGUCCCUCGCGAACCCUGACACCGCGCGUGAGGAGCCUGAGGCUGCACGCCUGCGCUUCCGGGGCUUCUGCUACCGGGAGGUGGCGGGUCCCCGAGAGGCCCUGGCCCGGCUCCGAGAGCUGUGUCGCCAGUGGCUGCAGCCGGAUGUGCACUCCAAGGAGCAGAUGCUGGAGCUGCUGGUGCUGGAGCAGCUCCUGGGCGCGCUGCCCCCCGAGAUCCAGGCCUGGGUGCAGGCUCAGCGACCAGGCAGCCCCGAGGAGGCUGUGGCCCUGGUUGAGGGGCUGCAGCGUGACCCUGGGCAGCUGCUGGGCUGGAUCACAGCCCACGUCCUGAAGCAGGAGCUGCUCCCUGCAGCCCAGAAGACAGAGGAGUCCUCGGGGAGCCCCCGCCCCUCAGGGACAGUGGAGCCCCCUGGGGCGGCCCUUGGGGAGGGUCCGCAGGACGCCAGGAUGCAGAGGUCUGCCCAGCUCAGCCACAGUGUGAAGGAGGAGCCUGAUGCCGAUGGGCAGGAGCUGGCACCCCACAGCACCCUGCUUCCAGCCCAGUCCCCUAAGGGGCACCUUGGACAUGGAGAACAAGCCUCCACAUCCAGGAUUCAGGUGAGCAGCUCCGCCCCGGAAGGAGAGUGCAGGCCCAGGUGCAGGCGGGCGUGGCCUGCUCCUGCCUUCUGCUCUCCCAGGUCCUCAGCCAGUGGUCCAGGUGCAGGGGGGCGUGGCCUGCUCCUGCCCUCUGCUCUCCCAGGUUCUCAGCCAGUGGUCCAGGUGCAGGUGGGCGUGGCCUGCUCCUGCCCUCUGCUCUCCCAGGUUCUCAGCCAGUGGUCCAGGUGCAGGCGGGCGUGGCCUGCUCCUGCUCUCUGCUCUCCCAGGUCCUCAGCCAGUGGCCCAGGUGCAGGCGGGCGUGGCCUGCUCCUGCCCUCUGCUCUCCCAGGUCCUCAGCCAGUGGCCCAGGUGCAGGCGGGCGUGGCCUGCUCCUGCCCUCUGCUCUCCCAGGUCCUCAGCCAGUGGCCCAGGUGCAGGUGGGCGUGGCCUGCUCCUGCCCUCUGCUCUCCCAGGUCCUCAGCCAGUGGCCCAGGUGCAGGCGGGCGUGGCCUGCUCCUGCCUUCUGCUCUCCCAGGUUCUCAGCCAGUGGUCCAGGUGCAGGUGAGCGUGGCCUGCUCCUGCCCUCUGCUCUCCCAGGUUCUCAGCCAGUGGUCCAGGUGCAGGUGGGCGUGGCCCGCUCCUGCCCUCUGCUCUCCCAGGUUCUCAGCCAGUGGCCCAGGUGCAGGCGGGCGUGGCCUGCUCCUGCCCUCUGCUCUCCCAGGUUCUCAGCCAGUGGCCCAGGUGCAGGUGGGCGUGGCCUGCUCCUGCCUUCUGCUCUCCCAGGUUCUCAGCCAGUGGCCCAGGUGCAGGUGGGCGUGGCCUGCUCCUGCCUUCUGCUCUCCCAGGUUCUCAGCCAGUGGCCCAGGUGCAGGUGGGCGUGGCCUGCUCCUGCCCUCUGCUCUCCCCGGUUCUCAGCCAGUGGCUCUUGUGCUGUUUGCUGCCCAGAAGUCAGGAGCAGCAGAACCCCCAUUCCCCCCCACCCCAGUCCUAGAAGUAAAGAGGCGAGCACUGUGGAGGGUUCAGGCCUCAGCCCAGGGAAGCCCAGUUGAGUGGCUGGGACUGGUAGGCGUGGCUUCCUCAGCUCUGGAGAAGCCAGUCAGGAGGUCUGCGGCUCAGGGCUGGCACCCGGGGAUUUGAAUGUGCAGGUACAGGGGGCAGGGGACGUGGCAACCAGCUGCAACCUGACUCCCACACACCUGAGAUCACAGUGGAGACAUACGACUUGGGAGACCUGAGUCCUCUCUCUCCAGGGGCUGGCCUGUGAGCUCAGCUCUAGGCCUGUGCAACCUCAAGCUCUUGGAUUCUGGAGAUGGUCGUGGGGCCUUGUCCUCCCCCAGCUCCUCUGCUCUGAGCUGUUGCACCUAGGCGUCCCCAGCAGGGUUGCUGCUGACUUGGAGGCUGUGAAGGGCCUCCCCGUGGCCUGCUGGCAGUCAGCAGUGUGAAGUGGGCUGAGCAGGCGGCCCCUGCACAGCAUCUGUGCGUCUGGACAGCACCCUCCCCGCCGGGGGUGAGCAGAGGCUGCUGCCUCUGAGCCUGCUCCAGUUUCUCCAGAAUUAUUUUUGUCAACCCAGCAGGUCCCAGGGUGAUAGGAGUUGGGACCUGCAGAAAAGCGGACCUCCUGGGGAGGAAGUCCCACUGCUCGGUGAAGGCAGUGCAGGUGCCCCCAAGCUCACUCGGUCCAGGCCCCGGCCAAAGCUGCGCACAGGAGCCGGCAGCACUGACCCCUGCACCGCCUCUGCCCCCACUGUCACUCCUCUCCCGUGAGGCCCAGGGUGCCUUGUUGCGCCUCCUAAUCUGGGCCUCCAGGAAGGACGUUCCUGUAGCCAGAGCUGUGACUGGAUCUGUGGCCGUCCCCUGGCCUUUUGCUCUCCCUCAGCACCCACUGUCCAGGGCACAAUGGCCACGUUCCCUGCCAGGCCUCCCCAGGGCCCACCCGCAGUUUCAGUGUGUUGAGCCAGAAUGUGGGGUGGAGCAGCGGAGGGGGCGGGGGCUGCUGGGCGAUAAGCAUGUCGCCGGCACCCACAAGUACCCAUCCGACUUCUCCUUUUGCUUGCCUGGUAACGAGUGAGGACGUGGUGACGGGCAGCGUCCCUGCAGGAGUGGGGGCUGCUGGGUGAUAAGCAUGUCGCCAGCGCCCAGAAGUACCCAUCCGACUUCUCCUGCUUGCCUGGUAACGAGUGAGGACGUGGGGGUAGGUGGGCAGGACGUGCCCGUGGUGACGGGCAGCGUCCCUGCAGGAGUGGGGGCUGCUGGACCCUCUGCAGAAGGAGCUGUACUGGGAUGUGAUGCUGGAGAAGUACGGCACUGUGGUCUCGCUGGGAUUACCGCCUCCCCAGCCUGGGCCGCAGCACCUGGAGUCAGAGGUCCGUGGAAGCCACCGCCCAGGUGAGCAGUCCUGCCUGCAGGAGGGGAGGAGCUUGUGCCACUCCACAGGUCUGGAGGAGAGGCAGAGUGGACAGUGUGAGAGAGAGACAGAGAGAAAGGUCUUCCUUUUGCCGUUGGUUCACCCUCCAAUGGCCGCCGCGGCCGGCGCGCUGCGGCCAGUGAACUGCGCUGAUCCGAUGGCAGGAGCCAGGAGCCAGGUGCUUUUCCUGGUUUCCCAUGGGGUGCAGGGCCCAAGCACUUGGGCCAUCCUCCACUGCACUCCCUGGCCUCAGCAGAGAGCUGGCCUGGAAGAGGGGCAACCGGGACAGAAUCCGGCGCCCCGACCGGGACUAGAACCCGGUGUGCCGGCGCCGCUAGGCGGAGGAUUAGCCUAGUGAGCCGCGGCGCCGGCCUCUAACUGCCUUUUAAAUAAAAUAAAUCUUAAAAAAAAUGGCUACCUCUCUGUUGCAAAUUCUGGGACCCAAAGACCCAGGUUUGAAUUCCCACUUUCCCCUAAUCUCCAGAAAAUCAGGAUACUUUUUUUAUCUGUAUUUAUUUUUAUUUUGACAGGCAGAAUUGGACAGUGAGAGACAGAAAGGUCUUCCUUUUUCCAUUGGUUCACCCCCCAAAUGGCUGCUACAGCCGGCGCUGCACCGAUCUGAAGCCAGGAGCCAGGUGUAGGGCCCAAGCACUUGGGGCAUUCUCCACUGCCUUCCCGGGCCACAGCAGAGAGCUGGACUGGAAGAGGAGCAACCAGGACAGAAUCCAGUGCCCCGACUGGGACUAAAACCUCGGGGUGCUGGCAGUGCAAGCAGAGGAUUAGCAUAGUGAGCCACGGCGCCGGCAGGAUACUUUUUUUUUAAUAUAAACAUUUAUGUUAUUUGAAAGACAGAGUCACAGAGUGAGUGAAAGACAGAGAUACCUUCCUUCUGCUGGUUAACUUCCCAGCAGAAACUGGCAGGGCUGGGCCAGACCAAAGCCAGCAACCAGAACUCCAGUCAGGUCUCACACAGGUGAGGGAGGCUCAAGCACUUAGGCCAUUCUCCACUGCUUUUCCCGGGUGCAUUUCAGGGAGCUGGAUUGGAAGUGGAGCAGCUUGGACUCAAACCGACACUCAUGGGUUGCUGGGUGUUGCAGGUUGUGGCUCAACCUGAUGCGCCACAAUGCCGGCCCAAGGUACUUUUUAAUAAAAGAUUGAUAUAUUUAUUUGAAAUAAUUACAGAGAGGGGCCAGCACCUGCAGUGCUGGCAUCCCAUAUGGGCGCCAGUUCGAGUCCUGGCUGCUCCACUUCAGAUCCAGCUCUCUGCUAUGGCCUGAGAAAGCAGUAGAAGAUGGCCCAAGUGCUUGGGACUCUGCACCCGCGUGGGAGACCUGGAGGAGACUCCUGGCUCUUGGCUCCGGAUCGGUGCAGCUCCGGCCAGUGUGGCCAGUUGGGGAGUGAACCAGCAGAUGGGGGACACCUCUUUCUCUCUCUCUCUCUGCCUCUCCUUUUCUCUCUGUGUAACUAUGACCUUCAAAUAAAUAAAUAAAUUUUUAAAAGAAAAUUACAGAGAGAGGGAGAGACAGAGAAAGAUCUUCUAUCUGCUGGUCCGUUCCCCAGGUAGCUGCAACAGCGAGGGCUGGAGUAGGCAGGAGCCAGGAGCUUCAUCCAGAUCUUCAUGUGGUGGCAGGGACCCAAACACUUGGGCCACUAGCAGGGAGCUGGAUCAGAAGUGAGGCAGCCAUCCCACUCCUUGGAAUUUGCCCAAAGGAAAUUAAAUUGGCAAAUAAAAGAGCUGUCUGCACCUCAAUGUUUAUUGCAGCUCAAUUCACAAUAGCUAAGACAUGGAAUCAACCUAAAUGCCCAUCAACAGUAGACUGGGUAAAGAAAUUAUGGGACAUGUACUCUAUAGAAUACUAUAUAGCAGUAAAAAAAAAAAAAAAAACUGAAAUCCAGUCAUUGGCAAUGAAAUCGGAGGAAUCUGGAAAACAUGCUGAAUGAAAUAAGCCAAUCCCAAAGGGACAAGUAUCAUAAGUUCUCCCUGAUCGGUGACAACUAACUGAGCACCUAAAAGGAAACCUGUAGAAGUGAAACGGACACUAUGAGAAACAGUGACUUGAUCAGCCCUUUUGCCGACUGUCGAGGAACACUUACUACUUUAUUCCUUUUAGUAUUUUUUUUUUUUGUUCUACUUAAUACUAUUGAUUGAACUCUUUAACACACAAUUAUUCUUAGGUGUUUAAAUUUAACUGAAAAGUCAUCCCUGUUAAAUAUAAGAGUGGGAAUAAGAGAGGGAGGAGAUGUACAGUUUGGCACAUGCUCAAUCUUACUUGCCCCAAACGGUAGAGUUAGAAACGUGCCAGGGAAUUCCAAUUCAAUCCCAUCAAACUGGCAUGUGCCAAUGCCAUCUUACUAAAGUGAUCAGUUUCAGUUUAUAAUUGAUCAUAACUAUAGGAUUAAGUGUCAAAACGAUUACAUAAAUAAGACCAGUGUCUGCUAAUACUAACUGAUAGAAUUAAAAAGGAGAGAACAAUCCAACAUGGGAAGCGGGAUACACAGCAGACUCAUGGAAUGGCAAAUGCCCUGAACAGCACUCUGGCCUCAGAAUCAGCCCUUAAGGCAUUCGGAUCCAGGUAAAAAGCCUGUGAGAGUUUCUCAGGCAUGGAAAGCCAAGACACUCUGGCAAAAAAAAAAAACCACCAACCAAACAAACAAACAAAAAAACACAAACCCUAAGUGAAUGAUCUCUGUGAGUGAGAUUCCAGUGGAAAGAACAGGGCCAUCAAAGAAGGAGGUACCUUCCUCUGAAGGGAGGAAGAAAUUCCACUUUGACGAUGGCCUUGUCUAAAUAAGAUCAGAGUUGGCGAACUCGAGAGGCUUCCAUAGCCUUGGCAGCUCAUGACAAGAGCCUAGAGCGACUACUGACAUCAUAAAUAAGAGUGUCAAUUGUUAAAUCAACAACAGGCGUCACUGUGCCCUUAUUCCUCAUGUAGGAUCUCUGUCCUUAAUGUGUUGUACUAUGUGAAUUAACAGUAUAACUUGUACUCAAACAGUACUUUACACUUUGUGUAUCUGUGUGAGUACAAGCUGUUGAAAUCUUUACUUAGUAUAUACUAAAUUGAUCUGUACAUAAAGAUAAUUGAAAAUGAAUCUUAAUGAAGAAUGGGAUGGGAGAGGGAGUGGGAGAUGGGAUGGUUGUGGGUGGGAGGGAGGUUAUAGGGGGAAAUCCGCUAUAAUCCAAAAGUUGUACUUGGUAAAUUUAUAUUUAUUAAAUAAAA
Oryctolagus cuniculus (rabbit) is the source of this 6684-nucleotide non-coding RNA. The record is from RefSeq and is a predicted model, not a curated record. Lineage: Eukaryota; Metazoa; Chordata; Mammalia; Lagomorpha; Leporidae.